UACGUAGGUGGCAAGCGUUGUCCGGAAUUAUUGGGCGUAAAGGGCGCGUAGGCGGCCCUCCAAGUCAGAUGUGAAAGCCCCGGGCUUAACCUGGGAAUAGCAUUUGAGACUGAAGGGCUUGAGUUUCGGAGAGGUGGGUGGAAUUCCCAGUGUAGAGGUGAAAUUCGUAGAUAUUGGGAAGAACACCGGUGGCGAAGGCGGCCCACUGGACGAACACUGACGCUGAGGCGCGAAAGCGUGGGGAGCAAACAGG
This 253-nucleotide ribosomal RNA is filed under the name uncultured bacterium. Its description in RNAcentral is "partial 16S ribosomal RNA". It matches the Rfam family "Bacterial small subunit ribosomal RNA", at positions 524 to 776 of the family's 1533-position model. The record is from RNAcentral.